Molecule: ribosomal RNA, 794 nt
Filed under: uncultured bacterium
Lineage: Bacteria
Description: bacterial SSU rRNA
Rfam family: Bacterial small subunit ribosomal RNA
Source: RNAcentral
AGAGUUUGAUCCUGGCUCAGAUUGAACGCUGGCGGCAUGCUUUACACAUGCAAGUCGAACGGCAGCACGGGGGCAACCCUGGUGGCGAGUGGCGAACGGGUGAGUAACACAUCGGAACGUGUCCAGUUGUGGGGGAUAACCCAUCGAAAGGUGGGCUAAUACCGCAUGAUCUGGCGACAGCAAAGCAGGGGACCGCAAGGCCUUGUGCGAUUGGAGCGGCCGAUGUCCGAUUAGCUAGUUGGUGGGGUAAAGGCCUACCAAGGCGACGAUCGGUAGCUGGUCUGAGAGGAUGAUCAGCCACACUGGGACUGAGACACGGCCCAGACUCCUACGGGAGGCAGCAGUGGGGAAUUUUGGACAAUGGGGGCAACCCUGAUCCAGCCAUGCCGCGUGAGUGAAGAAGGCCUUCGGGUUGUAAAGCUCUUUCGGUGGGAACGAAACGGUUACGGUUAAUACCUGUGACUAAUGACGGUACUCACAGAAGAAGCACCGGCUAACUACGUGCCAGCAGCCGCGGUAAUACGUAGGGUGCGAGCGUUAAUCGGAAUUACUGGGCGUAAAGCGUGCGCAGGCGGUUACUUAAGUCAGGUGUGAAAGCCCUGGGCUUAACCUAGGAAUUGCGCUUGAGACUGGGUAGCUUGGAGUGUGGCAGAGGGAGGUGGAAUUCCACGUGUAGCAGUGAAAUGCGUAGAGAUGUGGAGGAACACCGAUGGCGAAGGCAGCCUCCUGGGCCAGCACUGACGCUCAUGCACGAAAGCGUGGGGAGCAAACAGGAUUAGAUACCCUAGUAGUCC